GGUGUACAGAUGCAUCCCAUUAAAUAUUUAAUCUCCUGGGCUCCAGAGCUGGGCUGACAUGUUCCCUUUGGCCAAAAGCAGGUUUCUCGGGUUAGCUGCAUGCAGCACUUGUUCUGCUAGUUUGUCUUCAAAAGAAAGAGAUGGAGCGCCUUCUAGAACGUGUCAUAUUCGAGUGGGGAUCCUAGCUGCAUUGGCUCCUGACAUACUCUCCAAUAUGAAGUCUUGAACUUCUUGCUCCAAAAGUACCCACCACAGACAGCAAAUACUGGCUCAUGGAUCAUGCCCUGUUAACAUUCUGAGCAGACCUUCUGCACACUUGGGACCUGUUAUUUACACUUUAACCUGGCUGCUGGAAAUGCUGAAGAGUGUCUGGUAUCAAGUGAUGUGGAUGCUCUUUAGAGUCACGGCUACGGGCUGAUUCAUACGUCAUGAAUUAUUUUAAUGAAGAUUACAGGAACCCUUGAACUAAGGAGAGCUAGAAGAAGAGCCACAUGAGAGAUACCCUGCAAAAACCAAAGAUCCUGAUGCUAUAUAACGAAUCCAUGAGAAAUUGUCUGCUACCAGAACUUCAGGAAAAUUUCACCAUCAAUACUGUUGCUGAUGAACAUUUGAGAGAACUGACCAUCCACAGAAACAUCCUGGCACGAAGUACUCUCCAAUUAGCUUAACUUCAGGAUAACAAUGAAAAAACUUAAUUCUAUGCAUUGAUUUCACCACAGAGGAAAUACCCUGAAAACUCUGACUAGAUGACCCAAUAUCACUAUUAAUACUGUCAUAUCAUGGAAUUCAGUGUGGUUAGACAGCAGGAAGUGAAAUUUAAAUGCUAAAUUGAGAGCAUAUUCAUUAAGACAUACAUACACCACUCCAUACAUAAUGGUUUUAGAAUUAAUUUAAAGCAUGUCUUGGCAUUGAUUGAUACUAACUCUCUGGGUUUCAAUUGAUAGAAACAGCUU
This is a long non-coding RNA of Mesocricetus auratus (golden hamster), 953 nucleotides long. RefSeq lists it as uncharacterized. The transcript is spliced from 4 exons. NCBI's taxonomy places the organism in Eukaryota, Metazoa, Chordata, Mammalia, Rodentia, Cricetidae. The record is from RefSeq and is a predicted model, not a curated record.